This 515-nucleotide ribosomal RNA is filed under the name uncultured bacterium. RNAcentral describes it as "partial 16S ribosomal RNA". It matches the Rfam family "Bacterial small subunit ribosomal RNA", at positions 28 to 523 of the family's 1533-position model. The record is from RNAcentral.
GAUGAACGCUGGCGGCGUGCCUAAUACAUGCAAGUCGAGCGAAUGGAUUGAGAGCUUGCUCUUAUGAAGUUAGCGGCGGACGGGUGAGUAACACGUGGGUAACCUGCCCAUAAGACUGGGAUAACUCCGGGAAACCGGGGCUAAUACCGGAUAACAUUUUGAACCGCAUGGUUCGAAAUUGAAAGGCGGCUUCGGCUGUCACUUAUGGAUGGACCCGCGUCGCAUUAGCUAGUUGGUGAGGUAACGGCUCACCAAGGCAACGAUGCGUAGCCGAGCUGAGAGGGUGAUCGGCCACGCUGGGACUGAGACACGGCCCAGACUCCUACGGGAAGCAGCAGUAGGGAAUCUUCCGCAAUGGACGAAAGUCUGACGGAGCAACGCCGCGUGAGUGAUGAAGGCUUUCGGGUCGUAAAACUCUGUUGUUAGGGAAGAACAAGUGCUAGUUGAAUAAGCUGACACCUUGACGGUACCUAACCAGAAAGCCACGGCUAACUACGUGCCAGCAGCCGCAGUAA